CAUGUGAGCGGAGGGUGCUUGCAUCUAACAAUUCUUUUGUAAACUUAGUGGCGGACGGGUGAGUAACGCGUGGGUAACCUGCCGUAUACAGGGGGGACAACAGUUGGAAAACGACUGCUAAUACCGCAUGAGACCACAAUGUCGCAUGGCAGUAGGGGUCAAAGAUUUAUCGGUAAGAGGUGGGCUCGCGUCUGUAUUAGAUAGUUGGUGGGGUAACGGCCUACAAGUCGACGAUCAGUAGCCGACCUGAGAGGGUGAUCGGCCACAUUGGGACUGAGACACGGCCCAAACUCCUACGGGAGGCAGCAGUGGGGGAUAUUGCACAAUGGGCGAAAGCCUGAUGCAGCAAUGCCGCGUGAGGGAAGAAGGUUUUCGGAUUGUAAACCUCUGUCCUCUGUGAAGAUAAUGACGGUAGCAGAGGAGGAAGCUCCGGCUAACUACGUG
This 444-nucleotide ribosomal RNA is filed under the name uncultured bacterium. RNAcentral describes it as "bacterial SSU rRNA". It matches the Rfam family "Bacterial small subunit ribosomal RNA", at positions 54 to 507 of the family's 1533-position model. The record is from RNAcentral.